GAAAUACCACAUCUAGAAGAACAUUUACUCCGCAAUUUGGACAGAAAUGGAGUUGUUAGGUUGGGAUUCUGGGUAGAAACUGGUGAUAUUUUAGUAGGUAAAUUAACGCCUCAGAUAGCGAGCGAAUCAUCUUAUAUCACAGAAGCUGGAUUAUUACGGGCCAUAUUUGGCCUUGAGGUUUCCACUUCAAAAGAAACUUCUCUGAAAUUACCUAUAGGUGGAAGAGGGUGCGUUAUCGAUGUGAAAUGGAUCCAAAGGGACCCAAUCGACAUAAUGGUUCGUGUAUAUAUUUUAUAG
RNAcentral lists this ribosomal RNA (297 nucleotides) under Triticum aestivum (bread wheat). Its description in RNAcentral is "partial small subunit ribosomal RNA". The record is from RNAcentral. Lineage: Eukaryota; Viridiplantae; Streptophyta; Magnoliopsida; Poales; Poaceae.